UACGUAGGGGGCAAGCGUUAUCCGGAUUUACUGGGUGUAAAGGGAGCGUAGACGGCAGGGCAAGUCUGGAGUGAAAGGCAGGGGCCCAACCCCUGGACUGCUCUGGAAACUGUCCGGCUGGAGUGCAGGAGAGGUAAGUGGAAUUCCUAGUGUAGCGGUGAAAUGCGUAGAUAUUAGGAGGAACACCAGUGGCGAAGGCGGCUUACUGGACUGUAACUGACGUUGAGGCUCGAAAGCAUGGGGAGCAAACAGG
Molecule: ribosomal RNA, 253 nt
Filed under: uncultured bacterium
Lineage: Bacteria
Description: partial 16S ribosomal RNA
Rfam family: Bacterial small subunit ribosomal RNA
Source: RNAcentral